This 108-nucleotide ribosomal RNA is filed under the name Cucumis melo (muskmelon). RNAcentral also lists the same sequence under 1 other name. The record is from RNAcentral. Lineage: Eukaryota; Viridiplantae; Streptophyta; Magnoliopsida; Cucurbitales; Cucurbitaceae.
GGGUGCGAUCAUACCAGCACUAAUGCACCGGAUCCCGUUAGAACUCUGCAGCUAAGCGUGUUAAUACUAAGUCGGAUGACCACUUGGGAAGUCCUCGUGUUACAUCCC